RNAcentral lists this ribosomal RNA (253 nucleotides) under uncultured bacterium. Its description in RNAcentral is "partial 16S ribosomal RNA". It matches the Rfam family "Bacterial small subunit ribosomal RNA", at positions 524 to 776 of the family's 1533-position model. The record is from RNAcentral.
UACGUAGGGGGCAAGCGUUGUCCGGAAUCAUUGGGCGUAAAGCGCGUGUAGGCGGCCAGAAAAGUCCGCUGUGAAAACGCGAGGCUCAACCUCGCGCCUGCAGUGGGUACGGGCAGACUAGAGUGCGGUAGGGGAGAUUGGAAUUCCUGGUGUAGCGGUGGAAUGCGCAGAUAUCAGGAGGAACACCGAUGGCGAAGGCAGGUCUCUGGGCUGACACUGACGCUCAUGCACGAAAGCGUGGGGAGCAAACAGG